Molecule: ribosomal RNA, 198 nt
Filed under: uncultured bacterium
Lineage: Bacteria
Description: partial 16S ribosomal RNA
Rfam family: Bacterial small subunit ribosomal RNA
Source: RNAcentral
GUCUGCAACUCGACUACAUGAAGCUGGAAUCGCUAGUAAUCGCAGAUCAGAAUGCUGCGGUGAAUACGUUCCCGGGUCUUGUACACACCGCCCGUCACACCAUGGGAGUCGGAAAUGCCCGAAGCCGGUGACCCAACCAAAAGGAGGGAGCCGUCGAAGGCAGGUCUGAUAACUGGGGUGAAGUCGUAACAAGGUAUC